AUACGGAGGGUGCAAGCGUUAUCCGGAAUCAUUGGGUUUAAAGGGUCCGUAGGCGGGCGAUUAAGUCAGAGGUGAAAUCCCACAGCUCAACUGUGGAACUGCCUUUGAUACUGGUUGUCUUGAGUUACAGUGAAGUAGAUAGAAUGUGUAGUGUAGCGGUGAAAUGCAUAGAUAUUACACAGAAUACCGAUUGCGAAGGCAGUCUACUAACUGUAUACUGACGCUAAUGGACGAAAGCGUGGGGAGCGAACAGGAUUAGAUACCCUAGUAGUCC
RNAcentral lists this ribosomal RNA (274 nucleotides) under uncultured bacterium. RNAcentral describes it as "partial 16S ribosomal RNA". It matches the Rfam family "Bacterial small subunit ribosomal RNA", at positions 523 to 796 of the family's 1533-position model. The record is from RNAcentral.